Molecule: ribosomal RNA, 1320 nt
Filed under: Klebsiella pneumoniae CHS 73
Lineage: Bacteria; Pseudomonadati; Pseudomonadota; Gammaproteobacteria; Enterobacterales; Enterobacteriaceae
Description: bacterial SSU rRNA
Rfam family: Bacterial small subunit ribosomal RNA
Source: RNAcentral
AGAGUUUGAUCAUGGCUCAGAUUGAACGCUGGCGGCAGGCCUAACACAUGCAAGUCGAGCGGUAGCACAGAGAGCUUGCUCUCGGGUGACGAGCGGCGGACGGGUGAGUAAUGUCUGGGAAACUGCCUGAUGGAGGGGGAUAACUACUGGAAACGGUAGCUAAUACCGCAUAACGUCGCAAGACCAAAGUGGGGGACCUUCGGGCCUCAUGCCAUCAGAUGUGCCCAGAUGGGAUUAGCUAGUAGGUGGGGUAACGGCUCACCUAGGCGACGAUCCCUAGCUGGUCUGAGAGGAUGACCAGCCACACUGGAACUGAGACACGGUCCAGACUCCUACGGGAGGCAGCAGUGGGGAAUAUUGCACAAUGGGCGCAAGCCUGAUGCAGCCAUGCCGCGUGUGUGAAGAAGGCCUUCGGGUUGUAAAGCACUUUCAGCGGGGAGGAAGGCGAUAAGGUUAAUAACCUUGUCGAUUGACGUUACCCGCAGAAGAAGCACCGGCUAACUCCGUGCCAGCAGCCGCGGUAAUACGGAGGGUGCAAGCGUUAAUCGGAAUUACUGGGCGUAAAGCGCACGCAGGCGGUCUGUCAAGUCGGAUGUGAAAUCCCCGGGCUCAACCUGGGAACUGCAUUCGAAACUGGCAGGCUAGAGUCUUGUAGAGGGGGGUAGAAUUCCAGGUGUAGCGGUGAAAUGCGUAGAGAUCUGGAGGAAUACCGGUGGCGAAGGCGGCCCCCUGGACAAAGACUGACGCUCAGGUGCGAAAGCGUGGGGAGCAAACAGGAUUAGAUACCCUGGUAGUCCACGCCGUAAACGAUGUCGAUUUGGAGGUUGUGCCCUUGAGGCGUGGCUUCCGGAGCUAACGCGUUAAAUCGACCGCCUGGGGAGUACGGCCGCAAGGUUAAAACUCAAAUGAAUUGACGGGGGCCCGCACAAGCGGUGGAGCAUGUGGUUUAAUUCGAUGCAACGCGAAGAACCUUACCUGGUCUUGACAUCCACAGAACUUUCCAGAGAUGGAUUGGUGCCUUCGGGAACUGUGAGACAGGUGCUGCAUGGCUGUCGUCAGCUCGUGUUGUGAAAUGUUGGGUUAAGUCCCGCAACGAGCGCAACCCUUAUCCUUUGUUGCCAGCGGUCCGGCCGGGAACUCAAAGGAGACUGCCAGUGAUAAACUGGAGGAAGGUGGGGAUGACGUCAAGUCAUCAUGGCCCUUACGACCAGGGCUACACACGUGCUACAAUGGCAUAUACAAAGAGAAGCGACCUCGCGAGAGCAAGCGGACCUCAUAAAGUAUGUCGUAGUCCGGAUUGGAGUCUGCAACUCGACUCCA